ACCGCAUAGAAGUAAAGAGAUGGAGCUGCAAUGUCGUUUCCAAGAUUCAGCUUGAUGGACGUUCGAUGCGUCUGCUCUGAUCAUUUGACAGUGCAGGCUCUCAGCUUGUGUUCGUUGAGUGCAUUUAUUGGAAAUGGGCACUGCGACCGGUAUCUGUGCUGGUAGAAGCUUGGAAUAUCGUGGGCAGGCCAAUUCGGUAUCUGAUUCCCAUUUUUCAAUGCCUACCUGGUCGCGGAAACCGUGUAAUUUUGCACUGGCUUGUCUCAGUUUGUAUGAUAAGGCGUUGACUGAAAUUCUAUACCCUGCUUGCAGGCUAUGGUAACUCUUAGCGCUUAUAUUGUGCAUUCCUGAAUCAGUGCAAAGUGUCUGCAGUGUAUGUGUCAGCCACCCAUCUCACCCGUCUUGAAACACGGACCAAGGAGUCUAACAUGUGCGCAAGUCAUUGGGCGGAAAACCCAAAGGCGAAAUGAAAGUAAGCUCCACUUGUGGAGAGAAGUACGAUCCCCGUUUAUCGGGGCGCAGUACUGUCCUGUCUUAUCUGCAUUGUCAGUUAGGCAGAGAAAGAGCGUACAUGUUGGGACCCGAAAGAUGGUGAACUAUGCCUGAGCAGGAUGAAGCCAGAGGAAACUCUGGUGGAGGUCCGUAGCGAUUCUGACGUGCAAAUCG
This 666-nucleotide ribosomal RNA is filed under the name Oxystomina sp. TCR212. RNAcentral describes it as "eukaryotic LSU rRNA". It matches the Rfam family "Eukaryotic large subunit ribosomal RNA", at positions 404 to 900 of the family's 3401-position model. The record is from RNAcentral. Lineage: Eukaryota; Metazoa; Nematoda; Enoplea; Enoplida; Oxystominidae.